UACGGAAGCAGCAGUGGGGAAUAUUGCACAAUGGGCGCAAGCCUGAUGCAGCCAUGCCGCGUGUAUGAAGAAGGCCUUCGGGUUGUAAAGUACUUUCAGUCGUGAGGAAGGUGUUAAGGUUAAUAACCUUAGCAAUUGACGUUAGCGACAGAAGAAGCACCGGCUAACUCCGUGCCAGCAGCCGCGGUAAUACGGAGGGUGCGAGCGUUAAUCGGAAUUACUGGGCGUAAAGGGCACGCAGGCGGUUAAUUAAGUUGGAUGUGAAAUCCCCGGGCUUAACCUGGGAAUGGCAUUCAAGACUGGUUAGCUAGAGUCUUGUAGAGGGGGUAGAAUUCCAUGUGUAGCGGUGAAAUGCGUAGAGAUGUGGAGGAAUACCGGUGGCGAAGGCGGCCCCUGGACAAAGACUGACGCUCAUGUGCGAAAGCGUGGGGAGCAAAC
Molecule: ribosomal RNA, 438 nt
Filed under: uncultured bacterium
Lineage: Bacteria
Description: bacterial SSU rRNA
Rfam family: Bacterial small subunit ribosomal RNA
Source: RNAcentral